GGAUGUGAGGGCAAUCUGGCUGCGACAUCUGUCACCCCUUUGAAAUCCAGGGUUGAUUCAGCUGAUCUGGUUGGCUAGGCAGGUGUCCCCUUCCUCCCUCACCGCUGCAUGUGUGUCCCUCCUGAAGCUGCACGCUUGGUGGAAGAGGACAACCAUCCCCACUAGAGGAGGCCCAGUCUUCGGUCAAGGGUAUACAAGCAGCUGCACUGCCCUGCUAUAACCUCCAAACAAGCUCUCAAGGUUUUAUAUACUGUUAAGUAUCAAGAGAGCAAGAGAGGGGUUGGCAUGAUGGUGUAGCAAACUAGGCCUCUGCUUGUGGCACCAGUGUCCCAUGUGGGCACCAGUU
RNAcentral lists this small nuclear RNA (346 nucleotides) under Ochotona princeps (American pika). Its description in RNAcentral is "7SK RNA (ENSOPRG00000020449.1)". It matches the Rfam family "7SK RNA". From Rfam's summary of the family: 7SK was discovered as an abundant small nuclear RNA in the mid-70s but a possible function has only recently been suggested. Two independent studies have found that 7SK RNA binds the CDK9/cyclin T complex (known as elongation factor P-TEFb). Lineage: Eukaryota; Metazoa; Chordata; Mammalia; Lagomorpha; Ochotonidae. The record is from RNAcentral.